GAAAAUACUAAAAUUGUUGAUGCUUAUCUGAGGGGUCAUAAUAAAAGGAUGCAUUUCAGACGGUGUCACAUUACAAACACCACCGCUCACCAAGGCCUUCAGCUGUCAUGGAUUUCCGUGCUGGUAAGAGUCUGCCUCAAGUCUUUGCGCGUAAAGGUUGCGCAACAAUUUAUGUAAGACUCCAGAUCGCGUCUGCGUGUGUGCGUGUGUGUAGAACUCACGCGUCUCUCUCCACUCCGUGUCCUUCCGUCUCGCGCCACUGAUGCAGCCGUCGUCGUCCACCUGUGGCUGCUCGCUGCUCAGGCGUCCUGCGGAGUUCUCCCGAAGGACGACAGCGAGGCUCUGGUCCAAACCGCUCAUCUGCUGAGGAAGAACCUGCAGCCGGUGCUGAAAAGCCUGGCUCUCUUCAACGCGUCUUCGUGCCGGCACCUGAACGGCACCGAGCCGGCGGAGGGGCCCCUCGCCGGCGCGCACCUCUCCGCCUUCAGCUGCCACAUCUUCAAGCUUUCGAACCACACGCCGAACAUGCAGUCUGAUCUGAGCGCCAUCAGCCAGAUGCUGGACGCCAUGGUGGAUCUGAUGCCCGGUUCGGCCCCUGCAAACUGCAGCCUGCCCGACCUGAAGGGGCACUCUGACCUCUUCCAGUACGCGCGGUGUCUGCUGCAGCGCCUGGACCACAGGCUCCGCGACGCGACGUUUGGCGUGGGCAGGCGCGAGCGCCGCUAGCAGCCGAGGGCCCCGUGAAAACUGAGAUGGGGCCCCGCAAUUGAAUAUACUGACCACUACUGAUUUUUCUAGCAUGUCGGUGCAGAUGGUUAGGGUGUGAUGCUGGUAAUAUCAAGGUUGUGAGUUUGAAUCUAGCCGCAGGAUUACUUAUUUAGUUGUUUGAUUAAUUUUAAUUUAUUUAAUUUAAUUUUAUUUCAUUUUUAAUAGUGACAAAUUUUCGCUAUUGAAUUAAAGUGUGACGCCUUAAAGGUGAGGAGGGAAAGUGUUCAAAGAUUGAUUCUGUAAAACUGUCAGAGUGAGACCUCCGCACUUGGAUCUUGGGAAUUUCGAGUUCUACAGAUAAUUGUCCCGCAAAGGGACAAUAAAGGUUUUCUUUUAGAUGCA
RNAcentral lists this long non-coding RNA (1110 nucleotides) under Betta splendens (Siamese fighting fish). Its description in RNAcentral is "lncRNA (ENSBSLG00000016261.1)". The record is from RNAcentral. Lineage: Eukaryota; Metazoa; Chordata; Actinopteri; Anabantiformes; Osphronemidae.